Molecule: ribosomal RNA, 1434 nt
Filed under: bacterium
Lineage: Bacteria
Description: bacterial SSU rRNA
Rfam family: Bacterial small subunit ribosomal RNA
Source: RNAcentral
CUAAUACAUGCAAGUCGAGCGAACAGAUGAGAAGCUUGCUUCUCUGAUGUUAGCGGCGGACGGGUGAGUAACACGUGGGUAACCUACCUAUAAGACUGGGAUAACUCCGGGAAACCGGGGCUAAUACCGGAUAAUAUUUUGAACCGCAUGGUUCAAUAGUGAAAGACGGUUUCGGCUGUCACUUAUAGAUGGACCCGCGCCGUAUUAGCUAGUUGGUAAGGUAACGGCUUACCAAGGCGACGAUACGUAGCCGACCUGAGAGGGUGAUCGGCCACACUGGAACUGAGACACGGUCCAGACUCCUACGGGAGGCAGCAGUAGGGAAUCUUCCGCAAUGGGCGAAAGCCUGACGGAGCAACGCCGCGUGAGUGAUGAAGGUCUUCGGAUCGUAAAACUCUGUUGUUAGGGAAGAACAAAUUUGUUAGUAACUGAACAAGUCUUGACGGUACCUAACCAGAAAGCCACGGCUAACUACGUGCCAGCAGCCGCGGUAAUACGUAGGUGGCAAGCGUUAUCCGGAAUUAUUGGGCGUAAAGCGCGCGUAGGCGGUUUCUUAAGUCUGAUGUGAAAGCCCACGGCUCAACCGUGGAGGGUCAUUGGAAACUGGGAAACUUGAGUGCAGAAGAGGAGAGUGGAAUUCCAUGUGUAGCGGUGAAAUGCGCAGAGAUAUGGAGGAACACCAGUGGCGAAAGGCGGCUCUCUGGUCUGUAACUGACGCUGAUGUGCGAAAGCGUGGGGAUCAAACAGGAUUAGAUACCCUGGUAGUCCACGCCGUAAACGAUGAGUGCUAAGUGUUAGGGGGUUUCCGCCCCUUAGUGCUGCAGCUAACGCAUUAAGCACUCCGCCUGGGGAGUACGACCGCAAGGUUGAAACUCAAAGGAAUUGACGGGGACCCGCACAAGCGGUGGAGCAUGUGGUUUAAUUCGAAGCAACGCGAAGAACCUUACCAAAUCUUGACAUCCUUUGACCGCUCUAGAGAUAGAGUCUUCCCCUUCGGGGGACAAAGUGACAGGUGGUGCAUGGUUGUCGUCAGCUCGUGUCGUGAGAUGUUGGGUUAAGUCCCGCAACGAGCGCAACCCUUAAGCUUAGUUGCCAUCAUUAAGUUGGGCACUCUAGGUUGACUGCCGGUGACAAACCGGAGGAAGGUGGGGAUGACGUCAAAUCAUCAUGCCCCUUAUGAUUUGGGCUACACACGUGCUACAAUGGAUAAUACAAAGGGCAGCGAAUCCGCGAGGCCAAGCAAAUCCCAUAAAAUUAUUCUCAGUUCGGAUUGUAGUCUGCAACUCGACUACAUGAAGCUGGAAUCGCUAGUAAUCGUAGAUCAGCAUGCUACGGUGAAUACGUUCCCGGGUCUUGUACACACCGCCCGUCACACCACGAGAGUUUGUAACACCCGAAGCCGGUGGAGUAACCUUUUAGGAGCUAGCCGUCGAA